AUCCUUUGUGACCCAUUUUGUUCCAGCUGCCAUCACUGCAGCAUCCCACCAGGGCCACUCCGACCAACUGCCCAGAGAGGUGAUGGGUGCUCUGUCCCUGCAGACACCCGAGGUCAGAGCUGGACAGGGCUCUGAGCACCUGCUGGAGCUGUGGGUGCCUCUGUUCACUGCAGGGAGUUGGACCAGACAGCCUUUAAGGAUCCCUUCCUACUGAAACGAUUCUGCGAUCCUAUGAUUUAGCCACAGCAGUUGGGGUAAUUCCCUGCCAACCCCACAGGCAGCACUGGGUUUGCCACAUCCACCACAUCCAACCCACACCAGCCCCGAGCAGCGGUGCCACCGUGUACCGCUUGACCUGCUGAGUGACGCUUAGCGAUACGAGACAUGCCUGCUUUCUGCACAGCUCGUUUUUCUCUCCUGCAUGAGAAUAGCUUUGCUGGCAGCGAUGGGAGCCCACGCGCAGGAACAGCUUGCUGUUUGUACUCGGAGCACAGAAGUAGCAGAGCAGCCCGGCGUGGAUGAGCCCUGCUCUGCUUCCUGCUGCAGACAGCGUUAUUGGUGUUGAAGCAACGCUUGCCCUGGUGUGAGGCUGGGCAGCCCUGAGCAAAGAGCAGUAAUGCAGAGUCCUCAGGUUUUUUUGGGGUUUUCUCUCCAACACGUGCACACAGGCGCCAAUGGGGGCGGGGAGGCCCAGGCUGUGCUGAUUUAUUGGAGGAAAUACAACUUUAAACCCAUUCCCCCUCCCAGCAACUCUGCAGCUUUUCAGACGCAGCAUUAGCAGCUCUCGUGCUAUCCACACAGAUUGCUCCUCGAUCCCAAACGAAGGACGCAGCCAAGCUGUCCCCAGGUCCAACUACAGCUGACAGGCAGCUCUGCCUGGGCCGGACUGCAUGGAGCACAACCCAUGGGCACAGCACAGCGAGGGUCACACACACAGCCCUCACCCUCCCACCAUGCUCUCCUCGCACUCCCUCAAUGUCUCCUCCCCACUUUGUAAGUAUCUCUUCAAUGGAUGAAAAGAAAAAGCCAAGCAAAAAGCUAACUGGACUGUCUCCUUUGGAGUCUUUCCUUGUGGGAUUUCUCCUCUGUUGGCCCAGCACCUCCCUGUGCUACAUGUGCAUCUUCCGUUUGGGUCACUUAGCAAUUGGUUCCUCCCCUUGUCUUGAUCUCCUGUAUCUUCUAGUCUGCCAGUUACCAAUGGAUCUGCUCACAGAGGAGGAUCUAGCAGCUCAAGUCCUGGAAGAGCCCUGUGACGGGCUUUGCAAGCUCAGGCAGUGCUUUGGUGAAGCAGGUUUUGUGGGUGUUCUCCCCCAUGUUCUGCUGCAGAGAGCAGGAGAAACCCUCUGGUUGCCCUCUGAGCUGUCAGCCCCAGCUCUGGGUGCUUGGGGCAUCCCAGAUGUCAUAUGCAAGCAUCCGGAGCUUUAGCAGCAGAGAGCUGUAUGGUACCAUUUGCAUGCCUUCUCCAAGUGGUUUCAGCCUGAGAGCAAUGCCACAUCCAACAGCGAGAGCCCCGUGCCAGAUCUCUGCACCGAUAGCUCCAAAAGAUGAUUCACCAAAGAGGUAUUCAACCCAGGAUCUCCCCGUCCAAAGGGAAUACCCAGCGAUCUGAUCUCUCCAGCACUAUAUUUUACUCAGUGCUUAACACUGGCAAAACACUCAAUAGGACCCAUGGGGAUUUCUCUAUCUGCUAAUCCACUGCCUCUUCUCUCCGUUCCUCUCCGAGUUUUCAUUGUUGCUUUGGAUUUGACUUCACUCCGCUUCUUUUAAGGUAUGAGGCUGAUACAUAUCUCCAUAGAACUUCUAAACCUACUGACCCACUUCCAGCCAAGUUUAUGGGGAUAGGUGGAGACUUCAGAGAUAACAUUCCUGCAGCCACAGAGCGCAGCAGUGGGGCGGGCUGGGUGCCCUCUGCUUAGACAUCAUGUGCAGAUGCUGCCAUUUUCCCCAACCACGGGGAAACAAAGCAAAACGAGCUCAGAAUGAGAGCUCACGGUUUAAAACCCAACUGGCAGACAAGGCAAGCGGAGCACCCCCAGUGUGACAGCAGUCCCCGCCUCGCCACCGAGUGCUCUCCCAAAUGAACCAAAAGGACCACAGUGCUAAUGAGCCCCAGGCAAAGAGCAGAAGAGAUCAAGGAUGCUGCAAACAUCUCGUGUUCCUGCAGGAGCAGGGCAACGAGCACCAGCACACCCCUCCCUUCACAGCACACCUCUUGCUGUGCCCAAUCUCCCCGUUUAGAAGACGGCAGAAACAAUUUCAGGUGCCUGAUUGCUACACCGAAGGCUGCAAAGAAAAAAAUAAUCAUCUUUCCUUGCAGAACGCCUGGAGAAGCCCUGAAACACGAGAUUAAGGAUUCAACAUCACCCCAUCAAUUCCUCUCCCUCAGCAGCUCCUGCGGCCACCCUCCUGCACAAGAACAAGGAAGGAGAGGACACAUCCCAGCCUGGAGGUGACCCACACGGCACCCCAGACACACAACCGCUUUGCACUGUCCUGCUGCAGGACAUCCCAUUUCAUUAGGGACAGUUCAGCAUGCCUGCUCACCCCACUGGCUGCCCAAUUUGCACUGCCUGCCCCAGCGCACCAAUGGGAGUCUACACCAGAAGAGCUGCACUAUGAUCUGAUCAGCCUGUUUGAUAUGGCAGUGCCUGGUUCAAUGCCCAUUGAAAUCAAAGGCCCCUUGAUCUCAUCAGGCACCAAAUCUCAGCCCCGCUCCCUCCAGCUGAGCACAACCAUCCCGUUGUCGCCAGGCGCCCCAGCAGCUUGGGCCACCACUACAUAAUUAGAAGGCGUAAUGCUGGGUUUAACCAACGCACCGACACGGCUUCUUCUUAACAGUUGUGAAUAAUUUCCCCUGGCUUUGGAAUUCCAUUGCAGAGAGAGUUCAAGAAGCUAUUCAAAGCUUCAGGAACCACUCGUAUCUGCGGAUCUCAAAGCGUUGCAGAGACAGCAAUGCACUGCAGUGCAGGUCUCCUUGGAGAGGUGGAGUGGGGCUUCACACCAAGUGGAAAUGGAAGUACAGGGAGAACACUUUGGGUCUAUCCCAAAAAGUCCCAGUGCCCAAUCGUCAUCAUGCUCUCACACAGCAGAUGCAAGCGAGAAAUAACUACCUUGAGGAGGAGAGCAGGAAUCCAACCUGCUUCAUCCAGGCUGCCAUCUGAGGGGCUAUUCACUUUUCUUUUGCUUGUUCAGGAGCAGAGCCACCCGAGUUAGUGGGCACAUCAGUGCUUGGCUCUGUGGGACCUAAGGCUGAAAGGCUAUGCAGGAAGGGAAGCACAAACCAGAGACUGCUCCAUGCCACACAGACAGCUCAGGAUCAUUGCUGGGAGCCUGAUGUAUCGUGGGGAGAAAGGGGGCGUGGGAUCCCAACCUCACUGUCCGCAUGGAGAUGUGAGAGGCAGCGGGAAAACAUUCACCAGGAUGGGCUCAUCGCCAGCUUUGGGGUCUGCCUGAUCCCAGGAACCCCAUCGGGUCAAUAGAAGUCGCUUCCCAUCCCACUCUGCUGAGAGAAGGAAAAUCCCAUCAACAAAUAAAGAAAUGCAUAAAACAAAGCACCGAGGCUGGCAGAAGGGAGAAGAGCCCCACGCCAAGCACACGCAGCAUGUCUCAUCAGACAGGACUGUGGAGGAGCAGCAGGAACAGCAAACAGAGGACUCUGCAGCAACGGCACCGGGAGCUGCGGGGUGGAUGGUUUAUAGGCCAAAAAGUGGCUUUAUAAAACCGGAUCUUUAAAUAUUUGCUCCGACGUGGCUUCCAAGUCCCAUCUGCUGCAGCAGUUAAGCUCUCGCAGCCCUCGCACGUGGCGGUGCCUGUGUGCAGUGUGUCCCUGCUCCAAAGGCAACGCUGACAUCCCU
Molecule: long non-coding RNA, 3854 nt
Organism: Gallus gallus (chicken)
Lineage: Eukaryota; Metazoa; Chordata; Aves; Galliformes; Phasianidae
Source: Ensembl